ACGUAGGCGGCUUUGUAAGUUAGAGGUGAAAGCCUUCGGCUUAACCGGAGUAGUGCAUUGGAAACUGGGAGACUUGAGUGCAGAAGAGGAGAGUGGAAUUCCAUGUGUAGCGGUGAAAUGCGUAGAUAUAUGGAGGAACACCAGUGGCGAAGGCGGCUCUCUGGUCUGUAACUGACGCUGAGGCUCGAAAGCGUGGGGAGCA
RNAcentral lists this ribosomal RNA (202 nucleotides) under uncultured bacterium. RNAcentral describes it as "partial 16S ribosomal RNA". It matches the Rfam family "Bacterial small subunit ribosomal RNA", at positions 569 to 770 of the family's 1533-position model. The record is from RNAcentral.